This 449-nucleotide ribosomal RNA is filed under the name uncultured bacterium. RNAcentral describes it as "partial 16S ribosomal RNA". It matches the Rfam family "Bacterial small subunit ribosomal RNA", at positions 29 to 523 of the family's 1533-position model. The record is from RNAcentral.
AAUGAACGCUGGCGGCAGGCCUAACACAUGCAAGUCGAACGGAUCCUUCGGGAUUAGUGGCGGACGGGUGAGUAACGCGUGGGAACAUACCCUUAGGUACGGAAUAGCCUCGGGAAACUGGGAGUAAUACCGUAUGUGCUCGAAAGAGGAAAGAUUUAUCGCCUUUGGAUUGGCCCGCGUUGGAUUAGGUAGUUGGUGGGGUAAUGGCCUACCAAGCCGACGAUCCAUAGCUGGUUUGAGAGGAUGAUCAGCAACACUGGGACUGAGACACGGCCCAGACUCCCACGGGGGGCAGCAGUGGGGAAUCUUAGACAAUGGGGGAAACCCUGAUCUAGCCAUGCCGCGUGAUCGAUGAAGGCCUUAGGGUUGUAAAGAUCUUUCAGGUGGGAAGAUAAUGACUGUACCACCAGAAGAAGCCCCGGCUAACUCCGUGCCAGCAGCCGCCGUAA